GCCCGGGUGGCGAAAUUGGUAGACGCAAGGGACUUAAAAUCCCUCGGUGGCAACACCGUGCCGGUUCGAGCCCGGCCCCGGGCACCA
This 87-nucleotide transfer RNA is filed under the name Lysobacterales bacterium. Its description in RNAcentral is "tRNA-Leu". It matches the Rfam family "tRNA". Rfam says of the family: Transfer RNA (tRNA) molecules are approximately 80 nucleotides in length. Lineage: Bacteria; Pseudomonadati; Pseudomonadota; Gammaproteobacteria; Lysobacterales. RNAcentral also lists the same sequence under 1 other name. The record is from RNAcentral.